UGAGUAACCUGCCCUUAACUCUGGGAUAAGCCUGGGAAACUGGGUCUAAUACCGGAUAUGACUCCUCAUCGCAUGGUGGGGGGUGGAAAGCUUUAUUGUGGUUUUGGAUGGACUCGCGGCCUAUCAGCUUGUUGGUGAGGUAAUGGCUCACCAAGGCGACGACGGGUAGCCGGCCUGAGG
Molecule: ribosomal RNA, 180 nt
Filed under: uncultured bacterium
Lineage: Bacteria
Description: partial 16S ribosomal RNA
Rfam family: Bacterial small subunit ribosomal RNA
Source: RNAcentral